CGCCGUUGCGGUGACGGCGAGCGCGCUUUCCCACUCCUGGGCUGGUGCUGGAAGGGGCAGCGAAAGCAGCGGUGCAGAAGGCUGGGCCGGCCGCUCCCGGGAAGAGCUGGCGGGCCAAGCUGCAGGAACAAAGGCCCUGCGACCAAAGCCUUAGCACGCGCUCUUUUGGUUCGAGAUAUAUUUUGAUCGAUAACCAGUUAGGAUAAAAAUAUGAGACACGCAGAAUGUACACAUCACCAAAAAUACCAUUUUGUGAACUUUUCAGUCUUGCCAAGAAAAUUGGAUCAGAGCCCCAAAGGAAUACCAAGAUCAAGAUUCACCCACGGGCUGUCUCAAAACAUAAAGAAGUGCCAAGGGUCAGUUGUCUCCAGCCAGAGGCUCCAUGUGGAUACCGAGGAGUUGGGAAGCAUGGAGGCCUGUGCAUCCAUUCCUUCACAUUCUUCCUUUGAUCAAACCCAGGUUUGCAACAGUCAAGAUCCUUGGACUAUGGUACAAGCCCAAAUAUAAUUUCCUCAAAAAUGGUUUGAAGGUGGAAACAUUUGGAUUCUCAUCCUGAAUUGAUAUAAAUGGACCCUUUCAAAUUAUCCUAAACACAUAGGUUUUUAAUAUGAAAAGAAGCACAAAUUGCAUCUUACUCAAAUUUUAGAGACCACAUUUUUGCUCAAGCAGCAGUUCUGUGCCCCUCCCAACUGAGGGAAUACCUGUCUCCAUGUGCAGCCUGUGAACUUGUGCCCAGAUGGUUUUGAUGCCAAGAUUCCUGAUUCCACCAGAGAUUCUCUUCAAAACAUAUUGGGACCAGCCACCCAUUCCUGUUGGUUGCCUUUCCCACCUCCCUUCCAGAAGGAACAUUCUUCAUUUAGAAAGCAGUCAUAGCAGACAAUGAUCUCUUCCUUCCUAGCUCCCUCAAUCAAGUUGCCCUCACUGAAUCCAGGUGUCAUCUCUCUGUCAUGUACUGGGUUCACACAACAAACAACCAAUCAUUACAAUCUGUGGGAUCUUUUAAAAUGAGAACUUGGAGGAAGAUCUCGGGAGUUUGGACUGAGAUGUGCUCAGAGUACAAAUCCAUCCAAUUCCUAAUUAAACCCUCAUUUUAAAAAGACCCCAAGCCAUGAAAGCUAUCUGUCCGUGAACUGUCAACUUGGGUUGAGUGCAAAAGGGGAUCCUCCAUGGGCAUUAAAGCAGGGAAGUUGUGGGAGAAAUUUGUCAGGCAUCCCUUUCUCAGCAAUACAUUUACCAUGUCUUGAGUUUCUGGCCAGUCAGGAGGAAGGUGUCCAAGCCAUUACUGGACAAUCUGCAGGAAACGUACCUGCUGUACCUGGACGGCAGGAGCCCACCCUCCCCCACCUGGGACCUCAGCAAAGGCUUGAAAUGCUCUCAGUCGGAGAGCAACUUGGCAUUAAUGGAAGUAAAAAAUAAAUCUAAAAUGUU
Varanus komodoensis (Komodo dragon) is the source of this 1428-nucleotide long non-coding RNA. RefSeq lists it as uncharacterized. The transcript is spliced from 2 exons. The record is from RefSeq and is a predicted model, not a curated record. NCBI's taxonomy places the organism in Eukaryota, Metazoa, Chordata, Lepidosauria, Squamata, Varanidae.